AUAGUCCAAGAAAAUAAAUAAAGCUUAACUAGAAAAUAAAAUAAAUAAAUAACCGAUGUCCGCAUCAACUCUCUCGAGGUGGGAGAAAACUCGACCCUGUCGAGUGGAUAUAUCACUAUAGGCUGUUGUCAAUCUUCCAACCAUAAGUUGAGUGGUUGGGCAAGCUUCUUCCGGCGUCUGUUGAAAUGUGUCAGUGGAAGUUUGAACCUGGUGUCCUCACCAACUCCCCUCGGGUGAACGGAGGCAAUCUGGGCCAAGGAAGGUCCUGCUGACUUUCGAUAAAGUUUCAAUAAAUCUGGAUCUAAUUGCUGUAGUG
RNAcentral lists this long non-coding RNA (316 nucleotides) under Olea europaea (common olive). RNAcentral describes it as "long non-coding RNA (OEUR_LNC007058)". Lineage: Eukaryota; Viridiplantae; Streptophyta; Magnoliopsida; Lamiales; Oleaceae. The record is from RNAcentral.